RNAcentral lists this ribosomal RNA (426 nucleotides) under uncultured bacterium. RNAcentral's name for it is "bacterial SSU rRNA". It matches the Rfam family "Bacterial small subunit ribosomal RNA", at positions 355 to 773 of the family's 1533-position model. The record is from RNAcentral.
UGGGGAAUUUUGGACAAUGGGGGCAACCCUGAUCCAGCAAUGCCGCGUGUGUGAAGAAGGCCUUCGGGUUGUAAAGCACUUUUGUCCGGAAAGAAAACUUCGGGGUUAAUACCCCUGGAGGAUGACGGUACCGGAAGAAUAAGCACCGGCUAACUACGUUCCAGCAGCCGCGGUAAUACGUAGGGUGCGAGCGUUAAUCGGAAUUACGGGGCGUAAAGCGUGCGCAGGCGGUUCGCUAAGACCGAUGUGAAAUCCCCGGGCUUAACCUGGGAACUGCAUUGGUGACUGGCGGGCUAGAGUAUGGCAGAGGGGGGUAGAAUUCCACGUGUAGCAGUGAAAUGCGUAGAGAUGUGGAGGAAUACCGAUGGCGAAGGCAGCCCCCUGGGCCAAUACUGACGCUCAUGCACGAAAGCGUGGGGAGCAAAC